GUGGGGAAUAUUGGACAAUGGGCGAAAGCCUGAUCCAGCCAUGCCGCGUGUGUGAAGAAGGUCUUCGGAUUGUAAAGCACUUUAAGUUGGGAGGAAGGGCAGUAAGUUAAUACCUUGCUGUUUUGACGUUACCGACAGAAUAAGCACCGGCUAACUUCGUGCCAGCAGCCGCGGUAAUACGAAGGGUGCAAGCGUUAAUCGGAAUUACUGGGCGUAACGCGCGCGUAGGUGGUUUUGUAAGUUGGAGGUGAAAUCCCCGGGCUCAACCUGGGAACUGCCUCCAAAACUGCAUGACUAGAGUACGGUAGAGGGUAGUGGAAUUUCCUGUGUAGCGGUGAAAUGCGUAGAUAUAGGAAGGAACACCAGUGGCGAAGGCGACUACCUGGACUGAUACUGACACUGAGGUGCGAAAGCGUGGGGAGCAAACAGGAUUAGAAACCCGUGUAGUCC
RNAcentral lists this ribosomal RNA (450 nucleotides) under uncultured bacterium. RNAcentral describes it as "partial 16S ribosomal RNA". It matches the Rfam family "Bacterial small subunit ribosomal RNA", at positions 354 to 796 of the family's 1533-position model. The record is from RNAcentral.